GAUGAACGCUAGCGACAGGCCUAACACAUGCAAGUCGAGGGGCAUCGGGGUGUAGCAAUACGCUGCCGGCGACCGGCGGAUGGGUGAGUAACGCGUAUGCAACCUGCCUUCAGCAGGGGGAUAGCCCGUUGAAAGACGGAUUAAUACCCCGUAACACAGGGGCUCCGCAUGGAGAUUAUUGUUAAAGGGAUGCUUCCUUCGGGGAGUAUUCUGGCUGAAAAUGGGCAUGCGUUCCAUUAGGUAGUUGGUUGAGGUAACGGCUCACCAAGCCUGCGAUGGAUAGGGGAACUGAGAGGUUGGUCCCCCACACUGGUACUGAGACACGGACCAGACUCCUACGGGAGGCAGCAGUGAGGAAUCUUGGUCAAUGGACGGAAGUCUGAACCAGCCAUGUCGCGUGAAGGAGGACGGCCCUAAGGGUUGUAAACUUCUUUUGCAGGGGAAUAAAGUAUUCCACGAGAUGGGAUAUUGCAAGUACGCUGCGAAUAAGGAUCGGCUAACUCCGUG
This 507-nucleotide ribosomal RNA is filed under the name uncultured bacterium. RNAcentral describes it as "bacterial SSU rRNA". It matches the Rfam family "Bacterial small subunit ribosomal RNA", at positions 28 to 507 of the family's 1533-position model. The record is from RNAcentral.